UGUAUUAUGCCUGAUACUGGUAUAUGUACUGGUAUAUAUAAACGCGCCUGUAUUAUGCCUGAUACUGGUAUAUGUACUUCAUGUGCUUUUUUGUUGACAAAUCAGAACGAAAAGGUUGCCGGUAAACUGCACUACAUCUAUCGGCGCUAUGUUGAAAGAUUUCCGGAUGCCGAACCACCCUUGUCGGAGAAGGCUAACAGCUUCCUGAAGGAGCUGCGCAUGACCGUUACGGAUUCUGCUGACGAAGGAAUCAAACUUCCGGCGGAAUUGUGGGCGGAGGUCUUCUCCCACUUGACAACUCUAACGCAGACGGCGUUGCGCGCUGUGUGCGCCACGUGGGACCGGAUCUUGGAUGCGUCAGCCCUGCGUUCCAACAUCUUCAUCCGAUAUGAGACGAGCCCGGAGCGUCGAUUUGGCUGCUUUCUACACCUGGCAGCGGUGUACAAACGCCUGAACCCUGGUACGCAACGCGUUGCCCUGCGCAGCUUCGAAGACGGAUCCUGGACGCUCUCUGACUACGCGAUGAUGGUUUUCGGUAUGAUCCGGUAUGUGGCCGAUCACCAAUCCGGCAUCCGGCUGCGCACCGUGCAUCUACGCCGGGUUCGCUUGGAUUUGAUUUUUGACUGCGGGCUCGACAAAACCCACGCUGCCGAAUGCGGUCUGGCUAUGACCAAGCCCAAGGUGGAAUUCAAGGGUUUCUGGUGGCUGGAGGAUUUCAUGGCCCACUGCCGUCGUCUCCCGUGCGAUACUCUCCACAUAACCGACUGUCUGGUGUCACUGGUCUGGAUACGAGAUUCCCCUACAACAACAACAACAAGUUUCGAGCGAUAACCGAGAUCCACAUUCGCACCGCUCGUUUGCCGCUGGAUGGCGGUUUGGACUGUGCUUUGUGGGACGCACUGGAGGCGGCGCUGCCGAUGCCAGAUGAGGCUGAGGAGCAGGCGCUGCGCGAGUUAUUGCAGCGGCUGAAAGUGGGCGGGGAUUUGAAGGAAGAAAAGACACCGAAAAGCGCCGUCACCAAGGCGCUGUGUCAGGCGCAGUCAUCGGAUCCGCGUCCGUCGACGCACUACCGCGGGAAGAAGUGGUGUGUGGUCGGGCUGGAAGGUGUGCAGCUGGAGAAGUUGUCGCGCAUUGCGCUGAAUUUCCUCGUUCACGUGCAAAAUUAUGGGCUGACUAAGAAAGCAUAGUGUUCUUCGUGACAGCCUUUCCCGUUCUGUUCAACGUAAAUUCUGCCAGUUGACACGGUCCCGCUGUGUCAAGCUGUAAUUCCCGCUUUUCGUGCUGGCUAUAUAGAAUUUGAUAGGUUUGCUGUUUCGGUCGUUCAUUCUUGUUUCAUCACUUUCAUUUACUG
This is an RNA transcript of Paramacrobiotus metropolitanus, 1351 nucleotides long. RefSeq lists it as uncharacterized. The record is from RefSeq and is a predicted model, not a curated record. The transcript is spliced from 3 exons. NCBI's taxonomy places the organism in Eukaryota, Metazoa, Tardigrada, Eutardigrada, Parachela, Macrobiotidae.